UACAGAGGUCUCAAGCGUUGUUCGGAUUCAUUGGGCGUAAAGGGUGUGUAGGUGGCGCGCUAAGUCGGGUGUGAAAUUUCGGAGCUUAACUCCGAAACUGCAUUCGAUACUGGCGUGCUUGAGGACUGGAGAGGAGACUGGAAUUUACGGUGUAGCGGUGAAAUGCGUAGAGAUCAUGAGGAAGACCAGUGGCGAAGGCGGGUCUCUGGACAGUUCCUGACACUGAGACACGAAGGCCAGGGGAGCAAACGGG
Molecule: ribosomal RNA, 253 nt
Filed under: uncultured bacterium
Lineage: Bacteria
Description: partial 16S ribosomal RNA
Rfam family: Bacterial small subunit ribosomal RNA
Source: RNAcentral